GAUGAACGCUAGCGGCAGGCCUAACACAUGCAAGUCGAGGGGUAACAUAGGAAAGCUUGCUUUUCUGAUGACGACCGGCGCACGGGUGCGUAACGCGUAUACAACCUACCUUUUAGCGGGGAAUAGCCCAGGGAAACUUGGAUUAAUGCCCCAUAGUAUAUAGACUUCUCCUGAAGUUUAUAUUAAACAUUUAUGGCUAUUAGAUGGGUAUGCGUCCUAUUAGUUAGUUGGUAAGGUAACGGCUUACCAAGGCAGCGAUAGGUAGGGGUCCUGAGAGGGAGAUCCCCACACUGGUACUGAGACACGGACCAGACUCCUACGGGAGGCAGCAGUGAGGAAUAUUGGACAAUGGGCGAGAGCCUGAUCCAGCCAUGCCGCGUGCAGGAAGACUGCCCUAUGGGUUGUAAACUGUCUUUUACAGAGGAAGAACCCACCCCACGUGUGGGGGUUUGACGGUACUCUGCGAAUAAGGAUCGGCUAACUCCGUG
Molecule: ribosomal RNA, 488 nt
Filed under: uncultured bacterium
Lineage: Bacteria
Description: bacterial SSU rRNA
Rfam family: Bacterial small subunit ribosomal RNA
Source: RNAcentral